Molecule: ribosomal RNA, 237 nt
Filed under: Triticum aestivum (bread wheat)
Lineage: Eukaryota; Viridiplantae; Streptophyta; Magnoliopsida; Poales; Poaceae
Description: partial small subunit ribosomal RNA
Source: RNAcentral
AUUUACGCCCCCUCCUCACGCGCUCUCAAGCAACAAUUCUUCGAUGAACUUUUAGCUAUCGCCCAACCAGAUGUUUCGCCCUGGCUACUCGUCGGUGACUUCAACCUCCUACGUUUCCCCUCAGACAAAAACAAUGAUGCGUUUAGACACACCGAGGCCAACGCUUUCAACCAAACAAUUGAUGCGCUUGCCCUCAUCGAGUUACCACUUCUAGACCGCCAAUUCACUUGGUCUAAC